GGGCCCAUAGCUCAGUUGGUUAGAGCGACGGACUCAUAAUCCGUUGGUCCCUGGUUCGAGUCCGGGUGGGCCCA
This 74-nucleotide transfer RNA is filed under the name Nitrospinota bacterium. RNAcentral describes it as "tRNA-Ile". It matches the Rfam family "tRNA". From Rfam's summary of the family: Transfer RNA (tRNA) molecules are approximately 80 nucleotides in length. Their secondary structure includes four short double-helical elements and three loops (D, anti-codon, and T loops). Further hydrogen bonds mediate the characteristic L-shaped molecular structure. tRNAs have two regions of fundamental functional importance: the anti-codon, which is responsible for specific mRNA codon recognition, and the 3' end, to which the tRNAs corresponding amino acid is attached (by aminoacyl-tRNA synthetases). tRNAs cope with the degeneracy of the genetic code in two manners: having more than one tRNA (with a specific anti-codon) for a particular amino acid; and 'wobble' base-pairing, i.e. permitting non-standard base-pairing at the 3rd anti-codon position. Lineage: Bacteria; Pseudomonadati; Nitrospinota. RNAcentral also lists the same sequence under 5 other names. The record is from RNAcentral.